Pan troglodytes (chimpanzee) is the source of this 119-nucleotide ribosomal RNA. Lineage: Eukaryota; Metazoa; Chordata; Mammalia; Primates; Hominidae. The record is from Ensembl.
GUAUACGGCCAUACCACCCUGAACGAGCCUGAUCUCGUCUGAUCUUGGAAGCUAAGCAGGGUCGGGCCUGGUUAGUACUUGGAUGGGAGACCACCUGGGAAUACCGGGUGCUGUAGGCU